GUUUAUUCAAGCGCCUGUUUGACAGAUACCGGAAAAGUUCAAUAGGACUGAGGGAAAAUCUGGUGAGGAAGGAAAACGGACAAGAAGAUGGCAGAACAGACUCACACUUUCUUUAUGGAUAUGCCCUGUAAAGGCUGUUCUGAUGCGGCCAUGAGGGUACUUACAAAGGACAAAAAAGUGAGUGAAGAAAACAUUACGAUUAACAUGGAAAGCAACACAAUUGAGAUCAAGUCCAGCUUGGAUAAAGAUACCUUGACCGGUAUUCUAGAAAAGACUGGGAAAACCGUGAGGUUUGAAGGAACAAAGUAACUGAUAUAUAUUUUGGAAGAUGUUUGUCAAUAUGGUGGAACAAACUGUACCGGAGGGACGUAUCCAGUAUAUACGGCUAUUAUGGACACUUUAUGGAUUCCUUAGUCAAGCUUAUUAGUCAAGGCUAUAAUUAGAGCUGUAAUGUAUUCAACACUUGUCAUUUAGAUUAUGCAGACUAUUUAUUACCCAGAAUGAUUUUUCAUAGUGGACCACUUUUACAUAAAAUUCCCCGAUACCUUAGUCAAAAACUUUCAUUUAACAGAAACAAAUUGUUAUAAUCUGCAGUACCAUAUAAGGGAAGUCAAGAUAAUCAAAAUCUUAAUCAGUUACAGUAUAAUUCAAUGUUCUAGUCACCAGGGAAGGGAUUACUGUAUAUACCAUACAGACGACAACUGUAUACAUUAUUGUAGACAGUAGGGUCACCAGGGAAGGGAUUACCUUAUAUACCAUACAGACGACAACUGUAUACAUUAUUGUAGACAGUAGGGUCACCAGGGAAGGGAUUACCUUAUAUACCAUACAGACGACAACUGUAUACAUUAUUGUAGACAGUAGGGUCACCAGGGAAGGGAUUACCGUAUAUACCAUACAGACGACAACUGUAUACAUUAUUGUAGACGGUAGGAAAGGGAGUAAAAUUACUUGUUCAAGUUGUAUCUGAUUGUGCAAAGAUUUUUUAAAACUUUUUUGAAACUGUUAUUUUAUAUUGUCUUGAACAAAUUGAUAAUCCUGGAAGAGAAAUCCAUAAUACACAUUGUUGAUUUCAGAUAUUACAGGUAAAUAAAUACUCAGAAGUUGUUACCAUUGAAGAGAACAGGUUUAAGGACAUAAAUAAAUAGCAUAUAUAGUUAAAUUUACAUUCCAGUGUUUUACUUACAAGUAAAUUAUGCCUCGUUAUCUAGUAAAUUAUGCCUCGUUAUCUAUGAUGGUUGUACUGAAUCACUAAUAAAGCAAAUUAUGGUGUUGUUUCUAUCAUUGUCGGUGUUUGUUACCUUUUAGCUUAAAUAUCUUUUCAUUAAGCAUUUUGAAAUAAGUUUUUAAGCUUUUAUUAUUUAGUAGGUCACCUGGACUUGUGUGUGAUGAGACUUUAAAUCACAUUUGCAUUUAAGUGAUGGUUUCUAACUACAUGUACCGUAAUUUCCUGAAGAUUUCUCUCAACAAUACUGUUGUUUAAUGAAAGUCAUUAACAGUUAUGACCUGUACUGGCUGAUAAUUGCUGGUUUAUAAAACAAAGCUAUAAACAUCUAGUCCCAGUGUUUACCCUAUCAUCCAUUAAACCUUAAAUAGAAGUUGAUAACUAGUAUUACAAGUAUGUCUGUAAGUGAUGUGGAGAAAAUGAAAUGAUUAGAAGUUUUGGAAAUCCACUGGAAGUUAUGAUACUUUGUUAUAAUGCUGUAACCAAAUACUCGUACACCGUCUUUGUAAGGUGUUCAACGUUUUACAAAUGAUAUAUUGUCUGGUUGGUUGUGACACAGAUAUGGAGAAUACAGGGUAAAUCAUGUUUGGUAUACAGUUAAGCUGCUUUUAUUAGUACAGCGUUUUUUUCUCCUCUUGGCCAAAACUACUGUGUCAAAAAAAAUCUGCUAUUCAUGUUUUCAGCUAUUUUGUCAUUGUAAAAUAUUCAGGUGUUUUUGAAAAAAGAUUUAAAUUGACUUUUUGCUAAAAACUGUUAGUAUCUUUUCUUACAAUGGCUUGGCUUUAGGCAUUUUAUAAUAUCCCAUGUGAAUUUAGGACCAAUCUCUCAGCUUUUAGGAGCAAUAUUUUGAUUUUCACAUUCAUCCCAAAUAUGCAGAAUUGCUUUGUUGUAUCAAGAUUCUUACCUAGUACUUAUCUACUUACUACAAACACUACUGAACAUUUGUCCAUAAAUUUUGUUUUCUCUAAAGUUUGAUUGUAAAUAAGUCUUUACAAUGCAGGCCAUUUUUGCUUCUAUAAUAAUGGUUGUAUGUAAUAUUGCAAGGAACUAGAACCCUGCUAAGUGGUUAGUUUUUGGAAAAUAAAGCAUUAUCAUUGUCAUCAUAA
Long non-coding RNA from Pecten maximus, 2331 nucleotides. RefSeq lists it as uncharacterized. Lineage: Eukaryota; Metazoa; Mollusca; Bivalvia; Pectinida; Pectinidae. The record is from RefSeq and is a predicted model, not a curated record. The transcript is spliced from 4 exons.